RNAcentral lists this ribosomal RNA (739 nucleotides) under uncultured archaeon. RNAcentral describes it as "bacterial SSU rRNA". It matches the Rfam family "Archaeal small subunit ribosomal RNA", at positions 52 to 799 of the family's 1478-position model. The record is from RNAcentral.
UGCGAGUUAACGUAGCAAUACGUGGCAUACGGCUCAGUAACACGUAGUCAACAUGCCCAGGGGACGUGGAUAACCUCGGGAAACUGAGGAUAAACCGCGAUAGGCCAAGAUUUCUGGAAUGAAUCAUGGUUUAAAUCUAUAUGGCCCCUGGAUUGGACUGCGGCCGAUCAGGCUGUUGGUGAGGUAAUGGCCCACCAAACCUGUAACCGGUACGGGCUCUGAGAGGAGGAGCCCGGAGAUGGGCACUUAGACAAGGGCCCAGGCCCUAUGGGGCGCAGCAGGCGCGAAACCUCUGCAAUAAGCGAAAGCUUGACAGGGUUACUCUGAGUGAUUUCCGCUAAGGAAGUCUUUUGGCACCUCUAAAAAUGGUGCAGAAUAAGGGGUGGGCAAGUCUGGUGUCAGCCGCCGCGGUAAUACCAGCACCCCGAGUGGUCGGGACGAUUAUUGGGCCUAAAGCAUCCGUAGCCGGUCCUGCAAGUCCUCCGUUAAAUCCACCCGCUCAACGGUUGGGCCGCGGGGGAUACUACAGGGCUAGGAGGCGGGAGAGGCAAGCGGUACUCGAUGGGUAGGGGUAAAAUCCACUGAUCCAUUGAAGACCACCAGUGGCGAAGGCGGCUUGCCAGAACGCGCUCGACGGUGAGGGAUGAAAGCUGGGGGAGCAAACCGGAUUAGAUACCCGGGUAGUCCCAGCUGUAAACGAUGCAGACUCGGUGAUGGGCUGGCUUCGUGCCAACCCGGU